This 81-nucleotide transfer RNA is filed under the name Chara vulgaris. RNAcentral describes it as "tRNA-Leu". It matches the Rfam family "tRNA". From Rfam's summary of the family: Transfer RNA (tRNA) molecules are approximately 80 nucleotides in length. The record is from RNAcentral. Lineage: Eukaryota; Viridiplantae; Streptophyta; Charophyceae; Charales; Characeae.
GCCUUGGUGGUGGAACGGUAUACACGCAAGACUCAAAAUUUUGUACUACAAGGUAUGGAGGUUCGAAUCCUCUCCAAGGCA